UGCGUAGACGGUUAUGUAAGUCGGGUGUGAAAGCCCCGGGCUCAACCUGGGAAUGCCAUUCGAGACUGCAUAGCUAGGGUGCGGAAGAGGGAAGCGGAAUUUCCGGUGUAGCGGUGAAAUGCGUAGAUAUCGGAAGGAACACCAGUGGCGAAAGCGGCUUCCUGGUCCAGCACCGACGUUCAGGCACGAAAGCGUGGGGAGCAAACAGGAUUAGAUACCCUGGUAGUCCACGCCAUAAACGAUGAGAACUAGACGUUGAAGGGGUAAGCCCUGCAGUGUCGUAGCUAACGCGCUAAGUUCUCCGCCUGGGGAGUACGGCCGCAAGGUUGAA
Molecule: ribosomal RNA, 331 nt
Filed under: uncultured bacterium
Lineage: Bacteria
Description: bacterial SSU rRNA
Rfam family: Bacterial small subunit ribosomal RNA
Source: RNAcentral